UGAGUAGUAGCUUAAUCGGUAAAGCUACCCGCUGUUAACGGGAGGAGUGCAGGUUCGAGUCCUGCCUACUCAG
RNAcentral lists this transfer RNA (73 nucleotides) under Candidatus Dojkabacteria bacterium. RNAcentral's name for it is "tRNA-Asn". It matches the Rfam family "tRNA". Rfam says of the family: Transfer RNA (tRNA) molecules are approximately 80 nucleotides in length. Their secondary structure includes four short double-helical elements and three loops (D, anti-codon, and T loops). The record is from RNAcentral.